GGGCUUGACAUCCCACGAACCUGCCUGAAAGGGUGGGGUGCCCGCAAGGGAGCGUGGAGACAGGUGGUGCAUGGCUGUCGUCAGCUCGUGUCGUGAGAUGUUGGGUUAAGUCCCGCAACGAGCGCAACCCUCACCCCUAGUUGCACCGGGUAAAGCCGAGCACUCGAGGGGAACUGCCAGCGUCAAGCUGGAGGAAGGCGGGGAUGACGUCAAGUCAUCAUGCCCCUUACGUCCUGGGCUACACACGUGCUACAAUGGCCGGUACAAAGGGAUGCAAUACCGCGAGGUGGAGCUAAACCCAAAAAGCCGGUCUAAGUUCAGAUUGGAGUCUGCAACUCGACUCCAUGAAGGAGGAAUCGCUAGUAAUCGCGUAUCAGCACGACGCGGUGAAUACGUUCCCGGGCCUCGUACACACCGCCCGUCACACCACGAAAGUCAGCUGUACUCGAAGUCGCUGAG
Molecule: ribosomal RNA, 459 nt
Filed under: uncultured Methylomirabilota bacterium
Lineage: Bacteria; Methylomirabilota (SeqCode)
Description: bacterial SSU rRNA
Rfam family: Bacterial small subunit ribosomal RNA
Source: RNAcentral